AUGUAACGGGGCUAAACCAUGCACCGAAGCUGCGGCAGCGACACUAUGUGUUGUUGGGUAGGGGAGCGUUCUGUAAGCCUGUGAAGGUGGCCUGUGAGGGUUGCUGGAGGUAUCAGAAGUGCGAAUGCUGACAUAAGUAACGAUAAAGCGGGUGAAAAGCCCGCUCGCCGGAAGACCAAGGGUUCCUGUCCAACGUUAAUCGGGGCAGGGUGAGUCGACCCCUAAGGCGAGGCCGAAAGGCGUAGUCGAUGGGAAACAGGUUAAUAUUCCUGUACUUGGUGUUACUGCGAAGGGGGGACGGAGAAGGCUAUGUUGGCCGGGCGACGGUUGUCCCGGUUUAAGCGUGUAGGCUGGUUUUCCAGGCAAAUCCGGAAAACCAAGGCUGAGGCGUGAUGACGAGGCACUACGGUGCUGAAGCGACAAAUGCCCUGCUUCCAGGAAAAGCCUCUAAGCAUCAGGUAACAUCAAAUCGUACCCCAAACCGACACAGGUGGUCAGGUAGAGAAUACCAAGGCGCUUGAGAGAACUCGGGUGAAGGAACUAGGCAAAAUGGUGCCGUAACUUCGGGAGAAGGCACGCUGAUAUGUAGGUGAAGCGACUUGCUCGUGGAGCUGAAAUCAGUCGAAGAUACCAGCUGGCUGCAACUGUUUAUUAAAAACACAGCACUGUGCAAACACGAAAGUGGACGUAUACGGUGUGACGCCUGCCCGGUGCCGGAAG
RNAcentral lists this ribosomal RNA (720 nucleotides) under Escherichia coli. RNAcentral's name for it is "partial 23S ribosomal RNA". It matches the Rfam family "Bacterial large subunit ribosomal RNA", at positions 1170 to 1875 of the family's 2925-position model. The record is from RNAcentral. Lineage: Bacteria; Pseudomonadati; Pseudomonadota; Gammaproteobacteria; Enterobacterales; Enterobacteriaceae.